CGAGACAAAUGGCAAACGGGGUGAAAGCUCCGGACGCAAAGCUGCAGACCCUAACCUGGAAUGACAGGAGGGUGGCUGGGUUACCUCG
This 88-nucleotide non-coding RNA is filed under the name Candidatus Accumulibacter. RNAcentral describes it as "c-di-GMP sequence". It matches the Rfam family "c-di-GMP-I riboswitch aptamer". Rfam says of the family: GEMM was predicted in a large-scale screen for bacterial structured RNA regulatory elements. Genes associated with GEMM are involved in a diverse array of functions, including chemotaxis regulation, signal transduction, secretion and chitin. The record is from RNAcentral. Lineage: Bacteria; Pseudomonadati; Pseudomonadota; Betaproteobacteria.